This 118-nucleotide ribosomal RNA is filed under the name Pteropus alecto (black flying fox). Lineage: Eukaryota; Metazoa; Chordata; Mammalia; Chiroptera; Pteropodidae. The record is from RNAcentral.
GUCUAUGGCCAUGCCACCCUGAACAAUCCCGAUCUUGUCUGGUCUCGGAUGCUAAGCAGGGUCGGGCGUGGUUAGUACUUGGAUGGGAGACCACCUAGGAAGACAAGGUGCAUAAAAA